AUUGAACGCUGGCGGAAUGCUUUACACAUGCAAGUCGAACGGUAGAGGGGGCAACCCCUUGAGAGUGGCGAACGGGUGAGUAAUAUAUCGGAACGUGCCCAGUCGUGGGGAUAACGUAGCGAAAGCUACGCUAAUACCGCAUACGAUCUAUGGAUGAAAGCGGGGGAUCGCAAGACCUCGCGCGAUUGGAGCGGCCGAUAUCAGAUUAGGUAGUUGGUGAGGUAAAGGCUCACCAAGCCGACGAUCUGUAGCUGGUCUGAGAGGACGACCAGCCACACUGGGACUGAGACACGGCCCAGACUCCUACGGGAGGCAGCAGUGGGGAAUUUUGGACAAUGGGCGCAAGCCUGAUCCAGCAAUGCCGCGUGCAGGAUGAAGGCC
RNAcentral lists this ribosomal RNA (381 nucleotides) under uncultured bacterium. Its description in RNAcentral is "bacterial SSU rRNA". It matches the Rfam family "Bacterial small subunit ribosomal RNA", at positions 30 to 416 of the family's 1533-position model. The record is from RNAcentral.